GGCUUUCACUGCUCUUCAGAUUCCCGAUCCGGCCUUCAGACCAAAGAGCUGCCAUGGCUUCCUGUCUGUUACUCUUUGGGCGUCUUCAAGUAAGUUUGCAGACUCCAAGCUUACUCUCUCUCAGUGCGAUGUUUUAUCACUGGGAGAAAGCUUGGCCUGAGAAGAGGGACGGGAGUGUCGGGAACCUGGCGCCUCUCUGUGUGGGCUGCACACAACUGAGGUGCGCUGCUGGGAGCUUCGACCUUUCUGCAGAGGGCUUCCUCCAACCGUGAAGAGGAGCAAGGGCAGCCUUGAGAUUGUCUAAAAGGGCGGAAGCUUCUUUAUAUUUCUGUGGAGGAAGACACAGCAGCCUUGCUAUGCUCUGUAAACUAGUUCUUAUUUCUGAUUUAAUUCUGAAAUAAAUCAUAAGGUACAUAAGGAUUCAAAUAUCAUACAGGAAGAAGCUUUAGAGGUCAUUGAAUCCAGCCCUUCAUCUUACAGAUAGGGCAGCAAAGGCACUGAGAACGAAGAGACAUGGACCAAAUCACCUGUGUGUAAGUAAUUUUAUCAGCACUCAGCCAUAUUGUCAGAUUACAAAAUCAGUGCUUGCCAAUAUGCUUGCUUACUGGUACCUGGAGAAAGGGUUCAGAUUUUGUUGUGUGUGUUACCUGGAUAAUUAUACAGAAUGAAGAUCCAAACCCUUACCUGGGCAAUAAUUGUUCAAUACUGUAUACUGCUCGAGUGUCUGACAUUUAGAAAGUAUUUCAGGUGUCCCUGAAGCAAGCAGACUAAGAUUUGACCCCAUGUAAUGGAGAAGAAUUAGGAGCUAGGAUCUGGUGUAUAAACUUUAGAAAAUACGGUGAUAAAACCUGAUAAAUAAAGGCACAAGAAUAGGAGUUGACUUGCAUGUUAAUGAUAAAACUUGCAUAAAUGUCCUGUCCUUUGCAUCUGUAAGAAUCUCAUCACUGUAUUUUAUUACUUAAAGUGAAACAUGUUGUCUCAAUC
Octodon degus (degu) is the source of this 984-nucleotide long non-coding RNA. RefSeq lists it as uncharacterized. The record is from RefSeq and is a predicted model, not a curated record. Lineage: Eukaryota; Metazoa; Chordata; Mammalia; Rodentia; Octodontidae. The transcript is spliced from 2 exons.